AGACCCGAAACCCGGUGAUCUAGCCAUGGGCAGGUUGAAGGUUGGGUAACACUAACUGGAGGACCGAACCGACUAAUGUUGAAAAAUUAGCGGAUGACCUGUGGCUGGGGGUGAAAGGCCAAUCAAACCGGGAGAUAGCUGGUUCUCCCCGAAAGCUAUUUAGGUAGCGCCUCGUGAAUUCAUCUCCGGGGGUAGAGCACUGUUUCGGCUAGGGGGCCAUCCCGGCUUACCAACCCGAUGCAAACUGCGAAUACCGGAGAAUGUUAUCACGGGAGACACACGGCGGGUGCUAACGUCCGUCGUGAAGAGGGAAACAACCCAGACCGCCAGCUAAGGUCCCAAAGUCAUGGUUAAGUGGGAAACGAUGUGGGAAGGCCCAGACAGCCAGGAUGUUGGCUUAGAAGCAGCCAUCAUUUAAAGAAAGCGUAAUAGCUCACUGGUCGAGUCGGCCUGCGCGGAAGAUGUAACGGGGCUAAACCAUGCACCGAAGCUGCGGCAGCGAACGUAUCACUUAAAGCGAUUCAGCGGGUUACGAUUGACGGAGCGAAGCGA
This 552-nucleotide ribosomal RNA is filed under the name Salmonella enterica subsp. enterica serovar Infantis. Its description in RNAcentral is "partial 23S ribosomal RNA". It matches the Rfam family "Bacterial large subunit ribosomal RNA", at positions 711 to 1236 of the family's 2925-position model. RNAcentral also lists the same sequence under 3 other names. Lineage: Bacteria; Pseudomonadati; Pseudomonadota; Gammaproteobacteria; Enterobacterales; Enterobacteriaceae. The record is from RNAcentral.